GACGAACGCUGGCGGCGUGCUUAACACAUGCAAGUCGAACGGAAAGGCCCUGCUUUUGUGGGGUGCUCGAGUGGCGAACGGGUGAGUAACACGUGAGUAACCUGCCCUUGACUUUGGGAUAACUUAAGGAAACUGGGGCUAAUACCGGAUAGGAGCUCCUGCUGCUUGGUGGGGGUUGGAAAGUUUCGGCGGUUGGGGAUGGACUGGCGGCUUAUCAGCUUGUUGGUGGGGUAGUGGCUUACCAAGGCUUUGACGGGUAGCCGGCCUGAGAGGGUGACCGGCCACAUUGGGAUUGAGAUACGGCCCAGACUCCUACGGGAGGCAGCAGUGGGGAAUAUUGCACAAGGGGCGGAAGCCUGAUGCAGCAACGCCGCGUGCGGGAUGACGGCCUUCGGGUUGUAAACCGCUUUCGCCUGUGACGAAGCGUGAGUGGCGGUAAUGGGUAAAGAAGCACCGGCUAACUACGUG
This 468-nucleotide ribosomal RNA is filed under the name uncultured bacterium. RNAcentral's name for it is "partial 16S ribosomal RNA". It matches the Rfam family "Bacterial small subunit ribosomal RNA", at positions 28 to 507 of the family's 1533-position model. The record is from RNAcentral.